This 92-nucleotide non-coding RNA is filed under the name unclassified sequences. The record is from Rfam.
UGAAGCGGGUAAAACGUCCUAUCGGUGUUCCUCGAUGUUCCCCUGCGGAGCGGGGUCUAAGUCGAGGGGUGAUGCUGGUAGGUGCCGCUUCU